UAGGGAAUCUUCGGCAAUGGGGGGAACCCUGACCGAGCAACGCCGCGUGAGUGAAGAAGGUUUUCGGAUCGUAAAGCUCUGUUGUUAAGGAAGAACGAGUGUGAGAAUGGAAAGUUCAUGCUGUGACGGUACUUAACCAGAAAGGGACGGCUAACUCCGUGCCAGCAGCCGCGGUAAUACGUAGGUCCCGAGCGUUGUCCGGAUUUAUUGGGCGUAAAGCGAGCGCAGGCGGUUAGAAAAGUCUGAAGUGAAAGGCAGUGGCUCAACCAUUGUAGGCUUUGGAAACUGUUUAACUUGAGUGCAGAAGGGGAGAGUGGAAUUCCAUGUGUAGCGGUGAAAUGCGUAGAUAUAUGGAGGAACACCGGUGGCGAAAGCGGCUCUCUGGUCUGUAACUGACGCUGAGGCUCGAAAGCGUGGGGAGCGAACAGG
RNAcentral lists this ribosomal RNA (429 nucleotides) under Bacteroidota bacterium. RNAcentral's name for it is "Bacteroidetes bacterium partial 16S ribosomal RNA". It matches the Rfam family "Bacterial small subunit ribosomal RNA", at positions 355 to 776 of the family's 1533-position model. The record is from RNAcentral. Lineage: Bacteria; Pseudomonadati; Bacteroidota.